GGAUCGGGCGUUCCCCCUUCGGGGGGACAGGGUGACAGGUGGUGCAUGGUUGUCGUCAGCUCGUGUCGUGAGAUGUUGGGUUAAGUCCCGCAACGAGCGCAACCCUCGACCUUAGUUGCCAGCAUUCAGUUGGGCACUCUAAGGUGACUGCCGGCUAAAAGUCGGAGGAAGGUGGGGAUGACGUCAAAUCAUCAUGCCCCUUAUGACCUGGGCUACACACGUGCUACAAUGGGCGGUACAAAGGGUCGCGAACCCGCGAGGGGGAGCCAAUCCCAAAAAGCCGCUCUCAGUUCGGAUUGCAGGCUGCAACUCGCCUGCAUGAAGCCGGAAUCGCUAGUAAUCGCGGAUCAGCAUGCCGCGGUGAAUACGUUCCCGGGCCUU
This 381-nucleotide ribosomal RNA is filed under the name uncultured Anoxybacillus sp. RNAcentral describes it as "bacterial SSU rRNA". It matches the Rfam family "Bacterial small subunit ribosomal RNA", at positions 1003 to 1382 of the family's 1533-position model. Lineage: Bacteria; Bacillati; Bacillota; Bacilli; Caryophanales; Anoxybacillaceae. The record is from RNAcentral.